UACGAAGGGUGCAAGCGUUACUCGGAAUUACUGGGCGUAAAGCGUGCGUAGGUGGUUUUUUAAGUCCGUUGUGAAAGCCCUGGGCUCAACCUGGGAAUGGCAGUGGAUACUGGAAAGCUGGAGUGCGGUAGAGGGUAGUGGAAUUCCCGGUGUAGCAGUGAAAUGCGUAGAGAUCGGGAGGAACACCAGUGGCGAAGGCGGCUACCUGGACCAGCACUGACACUGAGGCACGAAAGCGUGGGGAGCAAACAGG
RNAcentral lists this ribosomal RNA (253 nucleotides) under uncultured bacterium. Its description in RNAcentral is "partial 16S ribosomal RNA". It matches the Rfam family "Bacterial small subunit ribosomal RNA", at positions 524 to 776 of the family's 1533-position model. The record is from RNAcentral.